UCCUAUCGCGCGCCGAGCUCCAUCCAAUAGGCAGGGGACACCGACAAACGGAUGGAGACGGGGGACCCACCGGUCCACCGUGAUCGGACCGGGGCCGCUCGCGGCUCCUUGGGGUGAAGCCGACGUCGCUCCCACGUGGACGACGCGGCCGGGUGGCCUCUCCAACCCGAACCCGACAGCUGACCUCGCAGGCGCGUUACGAGAGAGGAA
This 210-nucleotide small RNA is filed under the name Mycobacterium palustre. Its description in RNAcentral is "c-di-AMP sequence". It matches the Rfam family "c-di-AMP riboswitch aptamer (ydaO/yuaA leader)". Rfam says of the family: This family represents a conserved RNA structure found upstream of the ydaO and yuaA genes in Bacillus subtilis and related genes in other bacteria. The ydaO/yuaA element is thought to act as a genetic "off" switch for the ydaO and yuaA genes in its native state. Lineage: Bacteria; Bacillati; Actinomycetota; Actinomycetes; Mycobacteriales; Mycobacteriaceae. The record is from RNAcentral.